UGGGGAAUUUUACGCAAUGGGGGAAACCCUGACGUAGCGACACCGCGUGAGCGAAGAAGCCCUUUGGGGUGUAAAGCUCUGUCAACAGGAACGAAACAAAUGACGGUACCUGUGGAGGAAGCAUCGGCUAACUACGUGCCAGCAGCCGCGGUAAGACGUAGAAUGCAAGCGUUGUCCGGAUUUAUUGGGCGUAAAGAGUUCGUAGGCGGUUUGUUAAGUCUGAUGUUAAAGACCGGGGCUCAACCUCGGAAAUGCAUUGGAUACUGGCAGACUGGAGUGCAGUAGAGGCUAGUGGAAUUCCCAGUGUAGCGGUGAAAUGCGUAGAUAUUGGGAAGAACACCGGUGGCGUAGGCGACUAGCUGGGCUGUAACUGACGCUGAGGAACGAAAGCCAGGGGAGCAAAUGGGAUUAGAUACCCCAGUAGUCCUGGCCGUAAACGAUGGAUACUAGGCGUAGUGGGUAUCGACCCCUGCUGUGCCGCAGCUAACGCGAUAAGUAUCCCGCCUGAGUAGUACGGCCGCAAGGUUGAAACUUAAAUGAAUUGACGGGGUCAUAGCUGUUUCCU
Molecule: ribosomal RNA, 565 nt
Filed under: uncultured bacterium
Lineage: Bacteria
Description: partial 16S ribosomal RNA
Rfam family: Bacterial small subunit ribosomal RNA
Source: RNAcentral